GCACCUGAAACCAAGCAAGAUGAC
RNAcentral lists this ribosomal RNA (24 nucleotides) under Balantidion pellucidum. Its description in RNAcentral is "partial 28S ribosomal RNA". Lineage: Eukaryota; Ciliophora; Litostomatea; Haptorida; Spathidiidae. The record is from RNAcentral.